Molecule: ribosomal RNA, 380 nt
Filed under: uncultured eukaryote
Lineage: Eukaryota
Description: partial 18S ribosomal RNA
Rfam family: Eukaryotic small subunit ribosomal RNA
Source: RNAcentral
CAAUAGCGUAUAUUAAAGUUGUUGCGGUUAAAAAGCUCGUAGUUGGAUUUCUGCUGAGAACGACCGGUCCGCCCUCUGGGUGUGUAUCUGGCUCUUUCUUGGCAUCUUCUUGGUGAACGUUGCUGCACUUGACUGUGUGGAGCGCUGCCCAGGACUUUUACUUUGAGGAAAUUAGAGUGUUUCAAGCAGGCAUACGCCUUGAAUACAUUAGCAUGGAAUAAUAAGAUAGGACCUCGGUUCUAUUUUGUUGGUUUCUAGAGCUGAGGUAAUGAUUAAUAGGGAUAGUUGGGGGCAUUCGUAUUUAACUGUCAGAGGUGCAAUUCUUGGAUUUGUUAAAGACGGACUACUGCGAAAGCAUUUGCCAAGGAUGUUUUCAUUGA